Molecule: ribosomal RNA, 227 nt
Filed under: uncultured bacterium
Lineage: Bacteria
Description: partial 16S ribosomal RNA
Rfam family: Bacterial small subunit ribosomal RNA
Source: RNAcentral
UAACGCGUAGAUAAUCUACCCUCUAGUCCGGGACAACUUCUCGAAAGGGGAGCUAAUACCAGAUAAUACUAGGAAUCGAGUGGUUCUUAGUUGAAAGGUUUACUGCUAGGGGAUGAGUCUGCGUACCAUUAGCUUGUUGGUAGGGUAAUGGCCUACCAAGGCGACGAUGGUUAGCGGGUCUGAGAGGAUGAUCCGCCACACUGGAACUGAGACACGGUCCAGACUCC